GACGAACGCUGGCGGCGUGCUUAACACAUGCAAGUCGAACGGAAAGGCCCUGCUUUUGUGGGGUGCUCGAGUGGCGAACGGGUGAGUAACACGUGAGUAACCUGCCCUUGACUUUGGGAUAACUUCAGGAAACUGGGGCUAAUACCGGAUAGGAGCUCCUGCUGCAUGGUGGGGGUUGGAAAGUUUCGGCGGUUGGGGAUGGACUCGCGGCUUAUCAGCUUGUUGGUGGGGUAGUGGCUUACCAAGGCUUUGACGGGUAGCCGGCCUGAGAGGGUGACCGGCCACAUUAGGACUGAGAUACGGCCCAGACUCCUACGGGAGGCAGCAGUGGGGAAUAUUGCACAAUGGGCGGAAGCCUGAUGCAGCAACGCCGCGUGCGGGAUGACGGCCUUCGGGUUGUAAACCGCUUUCGCCUGUGACGAAGCGUGAGUGACGGUAAUGGGUAAAGAAGCACCGGCUAACUACGU
RNAcentral lists this ribosomal RNA (467 nucleotides) under uncultured bacterium. Its description in RNAcentral is "partial 16S ribosomal RNA". It matches the Rfam family "Bacterial small subunit ribosomal RNA", at positions 28 to 506 of the family's 1533-position model. The record is from RNAcentral.